Phlyctochytrium arcticum is the source of this 72-nucleotide non-coding RNA. NCBI's taxonomy places the organism in Eukaryota, Fungi, Chytridiomycota, Chytridiomycetes, Chytridiales, Chytridiaceae. The record is from the annotation of a GenBank genome assembly.
GCCCGUAUGGCGAAGUGGUAUCGCGUCUGUCUUGUAAACAGAAGAUCCCAAGUUCGAUCCUUGGUGCGGGCA